AAUACAUGCAAGUCGAGCGGACAGAAGGGAGCUUGCUCCCGGACGUUAGCGGCGGACGGGUGAGUAACACGUAGGUAACCUGCCCCUUAGACUGGGAUAACUCCGGGAAACCGGAGCUAAUACGGGAUAAUAAAGAGAAUCACCUGAUUCUCUUUUGAAAGACGGUUUCGGCUGUCACUAAGGGAUGGGCCUGCGGCGCAUUAGCUAGUUGGUAAGGUAACGGCUUACCAAGGCGACGAUGCGUAGCCGACCUGAGAGGGUGAUCGGCCACACUGGGACUGAGACACGGCCCAGACUCCUACGGGAGGCAGCAGUAGGGAAUCUUCCGCAAUGGACGAAAGUCUGACGGAGCAACGCCGCGUGAGUGAGGAAGGCCUUCGGGUCGUAAAGCUCUGUUGUGAGGGAAGAACAAGUACCGGAGUAACUACCGGUACCUUGACGGUACCUCACCAGAAAGCCACGGCUAACUACGUGCCAGCAGCCGCGGUAAUACGUAGGUGGCAAGCGUUGUCCGGAAUUAUUGGGCGUAAAGCGCGCGCAGGCGGCUUCUUAAGUCUGAUGUGAAAUCUCGGGGCUCAACCCCGAGCGGCCAUUGGAAACUGGGAAGCUUGAGUGCAGAAGAGGAGAGUGGAAUUCCACGUGUAGCGGUGAAAUGCGUAGAUAUGUGGAGGAACACCAGUGGCGAAGGCGACUCUCUGGUCUGUAACUGACGCUGAGGCGCGAAA
This 725-nucleotide ribosomal RNA is filed under the name Bacillus sp. S22. RNAcentral describes it as "bacterial SSU rRNA". It matches the Rfam family "Bacterial small subunit ribosomal RNA", at positions 50 to 758 of the family's 1533-position model. The record is from RNAcentral. Lineage: Bacteria; Bacillati; Bacillota; Bacilli; Caryophanales; Bacillaceae.